This 254-nucleotide ribosomal RNA is filed under the name uncultured bacterium. Its description in RNAcentral is "partial 16S ribosomal RNA". It matches the Rfam family "Bacterial small subunit ribosomal RNA", at positions 524 to 776 of the family's 1533-position model. The record is from RNAcentral.
UACGUAGGGUCCAAGCGUUAUCCGGAUUUACUGGGCGUAAAGCGUACGUAGGCGGGUAUUUAAGUGCGAUGCGAAAUCUGGUGGCUCAACCAUCUAGACUGUGUCGCAUACUGGAUACCUAGAGGACGGCAGAGGCAAGUGGAAUUGGUAGUGUAGCAGUGAAAUGCGUAGAUAUUACCAGGAACACCAAUGGCGAAGGCAGCUUGCUGGGCCGACCCUGACGCUGAGGUACGAAAGCGUGGGGAGCGAACAGG